CGGGGAUGGCGGAGCCGAGGGCGUUGAGCAUGGUCUGGGAGUGGAUGCGGGUGGCGACGCCGGCGUCCUCGGGGGUGAACUCGGGGAGCGCGUCGGCCCAGCCGGCGGGGAGCUCACCGGUGAUGAUGGAGUUGAGCUCGGCGUAAUCCUCGGGGUACUUCUCCUUGUACUCGGCGAACUUCUUGUUCCAGGCGGCCUCCGCGGCGGCACCCUUCUCGGAGCAGUCCAUGUACUUGGAGACGUCCUCGGGGACCUCGAAGGGCUCGUACUUCCAGCCGAGGUUCUCGCGGGUCGCCUUGGUCUCGUCGGCGCCGAGGGGCGCGCCAUGGACGUCGUGGGAGUUGGACUUGUUGGGGGAGCCGUAGCCGAUGAGGGUGGUCACCUUGAUGAGGGAGGGGCGGGGAUCGGCCUUGGCCUUGUUGAUCGCGUCGCGGAUGGCGUCGAGGUCGGUGUUACCGUCCUGGACGUGCUGGACGUGCCAGCCGUACGCCUCGUAGCGGGCGCAGACAUCCUCGGUGAAGGAGAUGUCGGUGUGGCCGUCGAUGGAGAUGGAGUUGUCAUCGUAGAAGGCGAUGAGCUUGCCGAGUCCCCAGUGGGCGGCGAGGGAGGCGCCCUCACCGGACAUACCCUCCAUGUUGCAGCCGUCGCCCAUGAUGGCGUAGGUGUAGUGGUCGACGAUCUCACAGUCGGGCUUGUUGAAGCGGCCCGCGAGGUGCUUCUCGGCCAUCGCGAGGCCGACGGCGUUGCAGAUGCCCAUACCGAGGGGACCGGUGGUGACCUCAAUGCCGUUGGUGAUGAAGUUCUCGGGGUGACCGGGGGUGACGGAGUCCCACUGGCGGAAGUUCUUGAGGUCGUCGUUCUGUCGCGGAGAGGGGGAGGGGCGGGGAUGGUCAGCCGAUGUAAGGGGCGCAGGCGUAAAUUGACAAAAACUCUUGCAGUCCCGAAGCGAAAUGACCGGGAGGAUUUUUAUCCCCUUCGCCAGGAUUUCCGCUGUCGGAGCCGGGCAAGUUGGGCGGGGGCGACGGACGGGGCGCUCGUCCGAAGGCCGUUAUGGCGUGGGAUACCACCCAUCGUUCAGAUGUGCCCGAGUCUCCCCGGGUCUGACGCUCGCGUCACCCGCACGCUCCGGAUAAACCCCGACGUGUCGAAAAGCCCUGAGGCCGAUCUUCCCGCUAAACAAAGGGAUAAAUACCGAUUGGUUUUGCCGGGCGAAUGUGCGCGCCCGAUCGGGUACGCGGCGCGGGUUCGGCAGAAAGAAAGGGUUCGAUGACUCACCGAGACGGAGGGGUAGCCGGUGAGGUGCAUGAGGGAGUACUGGAGCAUGCAGCCGUGGCCCGCGGAGAGCACGAAGCGGUCGCGGUUGAACCACUGGUAGUUCUUGGGGUUGUGCGUCAUGGCCUCGCGGUAAAUCACGUAGCCCAUGGGCGCGCAGCCCAUGGGAAGACCGGGGUGGCCGGAGUUGGACUUGUUGAUAGCGUCGAUCGCAAGGAAGCGAAUGGUGUUGACGCAGUCCAUGACGGUCUCGGAGGAGACAUCCGCGGGCGCGGCGACGGCCUGAGCGCGGGUCACCGGCUUGACAGCGCGGGUGGUGACCUUGGCGGAGACCUUCCUCGCGGCGGCCUUGUUGAGGCGCUGACCGGCGAAGGAG
RNAcentral lists this long non-coding RNA (1648 nucleotides) under Micromonas commoda. RNAcentral's name for it is "long non-coding RNA (MCOM_LNC000275)". Lineage: Eukaryota; Viridiplantae; Chlorophyta; Mamiellophyceae; Mamiellales; Mamiellaceae. The record is from RNAcentral.